RNAcentral lists this ribosomal RNA (446 nucleotides) under uncultured bacterium. Its description in RNAcentral is "partial 16S ribosomal RNA". It matches the Rfam family "Bacterial small subunit ribosomal RNA", at positions 330 to 792 of the family's 1533-position model. The record is from RNAcentral.
UCCAGACUCCUACGGGAGGCAGCAGUGGGGGAUAUUGCACAAUGGGGGGAACCCUGAUGCAGCGACGCCGCGUGGGUGAAGGAGCGUUUCGGCGCGUAAAGCCCUAUCGGCAGGGAAGAAGGAGGACGGUACCUGAAGAAGAAGCCCCGGCUAACUACGUGCCAGCAGCCGCGGUAAUACGUAGGGGGCAAGCGUUAUCCGGAUUUACUGGGUGUAAAGGGGGCGCAGACGGCGAUGCAAGCCAGGAGUGAAAGCCCGGGGCCCAACCCCGGGACUGCUCUUGGAACUGCGUGGCUGGAGUGCAGGAGGGGCAGGCGGAAUUCCUGGUGUAGCGGUGAAAUGCGUAGAUAUCAGGAGGAACACCGGCAGCGAAGGCGGCCUGCUGGACCGUGACUGACGUUGAGGCUCGAGAGCGUGGGGAGCCAACAGGAUUAGAUACCCCUGUA